AACGGGUGAGUAACGCGUGAGGAACCUGCCUCAAAGAGGGGGACAACAGUUGGAAACGACUGCUAAUACCGCAUAAGCCCACGGCUCGGCAUCGAGCAGAGGGAAAAGGAGUGAUCCGCUUUGAGAUGGCCUCGCGUCCGAUUAGCUAGUUGGUGAGGUAACGGCCCACCAAGGCAACGAUCGGUAGCCGGACUGAGAGGUUGAACGGCCACAUUGGGACUGAGACACGGCCCAGACUCCUACGGGAGGCAGCAUG
This 256-nucleotide ribosomal RNA is filed under the name uncultured bacterium. RNAcentral describes it as "partial 16S ribosomal RNA". It matches the Rfam family "Bacterial small subunit ribosomal RNA", at positions 101 to 353 of the family's 1533-position model. The record is from RNAcentral.